Molecule: ribosomal RNA, 216 nt
Filed under: uncultured bacterium
Lineage: Bacteria
Description: partial 16S ribosomal RNA
Rfam family: Bacterial small subunit ribosomal RNA
Source: RNAcentral
UGGGAACGUACCCUUCGGUUCGGAAUAACCCAGGGAAACUUGAGCUAAUACCGGAUACGUCCGAGAGGAGAAAGAUUUAUCGCCGAAGGAUCGGCCCGCGUCUGAUUAGCUAGUUGGUGAGGUAACGGCUCACCAAGGCGACGAUCAGUAGCUGGUCUGAGAGGAUGAUCAGCCACAUUGGGACUGAGACACGGCCCAAACUCCUACGGGAGGCAG